RNAcentral lists this long non-coding RNA (1401 nucleotides) under Serinus canaria (Common canary). RNAcentral describes it as "lncRNA (ENSSCAG00000009743.1)". The record is from RNAcentral. Lineage: Eukaryota; Metazoa; Chordata; Aves; Passeriformes; Fringillidae.
CCCACCGCGUUACUUUCAAUGUGCGGCCCCUUCGUAGCGCAACAAGGCUGGUUUUGCGUUUCUCGGAGGCAGAAAAGUCUGUAAAAUAAGCACAAAUAGCAGCUGAGUAGCAGAGAAGGGAAAUUUGGAGGCAUGUGGUAGAGUUCCUAUGGCUGGAAGUUCUGAAGAUGCAAUUUGAUGGGACUACAAGGUCUCCUCUGGACUCCAUCCCUAGCAGCUCAAGACCAGCUUGGAGACGAGUUGCUAAGCAAAUAGAGACCCUUUUACAAAAGCACAGAAUCACAGAAUUGUUCUGGUUGGAAGGGAUCUCCGGAGAUCAUCCAGUCCAACCCCCCCCAGCCAAGGCAGGGUCAACUGGAGCAAGUAACAGGAACACAUCCAGCCUCUGCUGCACCUGGUGAGAGGUUGAUCAUGACAAGGGAAUGUGCUGAGUCUGCCAUGGCCACUGUCCCCUCCCAGGCUCUGUGGGUGACAGAGGAAGCCACUGUCAGAAAUGAGGUGUAGUAGCCAGCACACCUCGCCUUCUCACCACCUUCCCGACAUGAGCAGCGUUGAUAUUGAUGCCUGUGCACAUGCUGACACCCCAGGUAACAUGGCACACACAUUUUAUUAACCCCUCUGACACUUCCUCUGUGCUCCCUGGGCCAGCAAGUGUUCUUCCAUACAGCAUAAAGAAUUAUUUUUUCCUUCCCAUUUGAGCCCAAACUCUUGCCUGUUUUACAAGUGCCUCCAGUACUAGUUUGGGGGGUGGAUUUAGUCGAAUUAAAACAAACCAAACACAUUAGUCCCAUCCCCCUUUCAGCCCUCUGCUCCCCAGACUGAGUCCCAGCCACUCAGUGCCUCCUCCUUUCCAGCACUGCCUCAUUUGCCUUUCCCUGUGUUUUGUCUCAGCCAUUUGCUGCUGGGCUCCUCUGGGGAUGCCGGGGAAAAGGCAGCAAGCUGAGUUCCAGGGGCAUUGCUGUCUCUGUUCUGCUGCUCCCUGUGCUGCUGCCUUUCCCCUGGUGUGCUCCGUGCUGCUGCUUUCCAUGAAACGUGUCCUAGGCAGGGGGAAUAGGGAAGGGCUUGGAACAUACCCAUGCCUAUACAUGCCACUGUGUAGGCACCACCAGUAAUGGGAAAAAUGCAUAUUUUAUGAUUGGCUUUUUGCAAAUAUUCAAAUGAAUAUUAUAUGUGUUAUGUUAGAAAGUGAUGCUGUAUUAAUUUUCUUAAGUAGUGUGUUAAAUAUAGUUUUGGUUAUAACAUAAUGUUAAAAUAGAAACUACGUUUGUGAGAUAUUUUUUAAGAAAGGAACGAGGUACUCGCACCAGAUAGCAGCCACAGGACACCCAAAUCUUUCAGAGAAAGAAAAUUUAUUGCUCCAUUAUCAGAAAAAAUGAACUUCUUCCUGCCUUGCUCAGUCCU